AUUGAACGCUGGCGGCAUGCCUUACACAUGCAAGUCGAACGGUAACAGGUCUUCGGCUGCUGACGAGUGGCGAACGGGUGAGUAAUACAUCGGAACGUGCCCGAUCGUGGGGGAUAACGAGGCGAAAGCUUUGCUAAUACCGCAUACGAUCUACGGAUGAAAGCGGGGGAUCUUCGGACCUCGCGCGGACGGAGCGGCCGAUGGCAGAUUAGGUAGUUGGUGGGAUAAAAGCUUACCAAGCCGACGAUCUGUAGCUGGUCUGAGAGGAUGAUCAGCCACACCGGGGAUGGGAAACCGGCCCAAAACCCCACGGGGGGCAGAGGGGGGGAAUUUGGGAAAAGGGGGGAAACCCUGUCCCAGCCAUGCCGGGGGAAGGAAGAAGGCCUUCGGGUGUUAAACUGUUUUUGUAGGGAAAAAAAAGCCUUUUUCAAAAAAAGGGGGGUAAUGACGGUCCCGAAAAAAAAAGCACCGGCUAACUACGU
RNAcentral lists this ribosomal RNA (482 nucleotides) under uncultured bacterium. Its description in RNAcentral is "partial 16S ribosomal RNA". It matches the Rfam family "Bacterial small subunit ribosomal RNA", at positions 29 to 506 of the family's 1533-position model. The record is from RNAcentral.